AGUGGGAUAGCUGGAUCAAAAGGUGAUUUCAUUCCCAGUUUUCAAAGGAAUCUCCAUACUGCUUUCCAUAAUGGCUGCACCAUUUUGAAGUCCCAACAGUAAU
RNAcentral lists this microRNA precursor (103 nucleotides) under Marmota monax (woodchuck). Lineage: Eukaryota; Metazoa; Chordata; Mammalia; Rodentia; Sciuridae. The record is from RNAcentral.